RNAcentral lists this long non-coding RNA (848 nucleotides) under Bos indicus x Bos taurus (hybrid cattle). RNAcentral's name for it is "lncRNA (ENSBIXG00000023913.1)". The record is from RNAcentral. Lineage: Eukaryota; Metazoa; Chordata; Mammalia; Artiodactyla; Bovidae.
ACUGAAUGACACCCCCAACGCAGAGUCAGGCUAAGAUGUGCCCCACGGAUCCACAAUGGGGACCGAGAGACAAAUCAGUUGCAGGGGGAGGGGGAGGGGGAGGUGGGCAGUAAAGGCACCCGGCUGGUUUAUUUUCAAAACAGCUAGGGACAGUCCAGCUUUCCAGAGGGUGGAGGAGCAGGUAUCCAGUGCUGAAGAGUCAUGGAGACUGAGUAAGGGAGGAAAAGGGGGCUUUUCAGCUUUGGCAACGGCAGCCCACUCCAGUAUCCUUGCCUGGAGAAUCCCACAGACAGAUGAACCUGGCAGGCCAUAGUUCGUGGGGUCGCAGAGUCGGACACGACUGAUCGACUAACACUUUGACUUUGGGAGGGUCCUCAAAGCAUCCGUAGCAGGAAUGAGUUAGUUCUGGUUCUGCCAUAGCCCCAGCCCUGCAGCAAAACCUCCUUAGAUCUAUCCUCUCCUUCCCCCUCCCGGAGAGACGAGCCCACGGAGCUUGCUCCUUAAACAGGAUUAAGCCUGCCAUGCUCAUGGGCGUUGUCACCUCAGUUGCCCCACCUUCCCCACUGACAGGUCCAUUGCUGGCAGUGGACAGAGAGAUCCUAACUGCAGCCCACUUCCAGCUCUGCCGCCUCCCCCAGGGGAGGGCUCCAGCGAACGCAGCCUAUCCUGCGGAACACGGUCUCUUCUUGACCACCCUAGGACUCUUAGGAUGGAAAUCUGGUGGAAACAGACAACAGCUUGUUGAUGUCUCCCAGCCCAAGGCCUCUGUGAUUCUCUCCCAGAGCCAGCCCUUGGAUGGCCCACCGGGCCUUGGCGACCCUAAGAAACAAAUCCUCGUCUCCUUCUGA